GAAACUAGUCCUCAAACUUCUGCAUACUCAACCUGCACUGCUUACUAGCCUGGACCAAGGGGAUCAAAGUGUUGUUCGGGACCUCAUGUUUUUGUUGGAAGAAAACGAGUCAGGGAAGAAUCUCACCCGAGAUGAAACUUGAGCUGUUUACAAUUUACAAAAAAAUGAGGAAUUUUUGAUAAAAGAGGCAGAUAAGGGUGGCAAUGUUGUUCUAUGGCCAAUUGAGUUAUAUAUGAAAGAAGCCAAGAGACUAUUGAAUAACUGCAAAUAUUAUAAAAGGCUACCUUGUAAUCCCACAGACUAUUUCCGGAGGAAAUAUUCUCACAUCUUGGAUACAGCUCAAGAAUUUGGAAUCCUCAGCAAAAAAGAACAGCAAUUUUUUGAAGGUAAGAGAACCUCGCACAGCAACCUUUUAUAUGCUACCAAAGGUUUAUAAGAAUCUAAUUGAACCACCAGGAUGGCCCAUUAUUUCAGGAAUAGUUAGCAUGUACAAGAAAGCCAGUACAUUCAUUGAUUUCUCAUUGCAGCCCUUGGUGACCUCCUUGUCGUCAUACAUGCGGGAGUCAAUGCAUUUAAUACAAACAACACAGGAAAUGACAUUACCAGAGGAUGUUCUACUUGUCACGUGUGACAUAGAGUCGCUGUACUCAAACAUUGCCCACAAGGAUGGAAUUCCAGCCGUGACUCACUUCCUUGAGAAACAAAGGAGUUCCUGGACCUGCAGCUAAGUGUGAACAAUGGACAUUUGGAAUCCAAGCUAUACUGGAAAACAACUGUAACCAAUAGUCUCCUCCACUUCUCUUCUUUCCAUCCUCUUCAUACAUUACAAGGCAUACCAACUGGACAAUUUCUUCGAGUAAGACGGAACUGUAGCAGUGAUCAUGAUUUCAGACAACAAUCAAAGGAACUGACAACAAGAUUCAGAGAACAAGGCUAUCCUAAAAGAACUACUUCUAAGGCCUUCCAGAGAGCCCUGAUGUCGGACGGAGAAACUCUAUUGUAACCUGUCCUCAGAAGAAAGGAUGAUACUAUCAGAUUUCUUUCCACAUACAAUAAUCAAUGGAACCGUGUGAGAAAUGUAUUGGAACAAAACUGAAACAUCCUACUAUCGGACUCAUGAAUACGAGCUGUUGUUCCAGAAAGACCGGGGCUGGUCUCACGACGAGCUCCCAAUUUAGGAGACAUAUUGACCAACAGCCAUUUUCAGAAACCUCUUAGACAUCUGGGGACAGGCUUUAAUCAUGCAGGAUCGUUCCCUUUUGGGAACUGUACGGUAUGUCAGUUCAUGUCUCAAACUCUUAAAUUCGUGAAUCCAACAGACCAUAAGGAAUUAAAGAUAAAAAUAUUCAUAAACUGUAAGACUGUGCAAGUGAUCUAUGCAAUCAUUUGUUCCUGCAAAAAGGUGUAUGUGGGACAGACGGGACAACAAUUACGUAAACAAAUACAAAAGCAUGUUUCUACUAUUGCACUGGCGAGACAGGACAGGAGCUGUGGGAAAGCACUCACCUCUGUUGCUGAACACUUUUUAGAUCAUCAACAAGGACGUUCCAAUGAAUUGAUGGUCAUAGGUUUGGAACGGGUUAAAAAAAAUAUUAGAGGAUGACCCAUCAAAAAACAUCCUUUACAAGUGGAAUUCAGAUGGAUCUAUGAACUAGGAACUGUUUUACCCUGUGUCCUUAAUGAAGAUUUACUGUUUUCAGGA
Molecule: long non-coding RNA, 1702 nt
Organism: Hyla sarda
Lineage: Eukaryota; Metazoa; Chordata; Amphibia; Anura; Hylidae
Exons: 3
Source: RefSeq, a predicted model, not a curated record